UGGGGAAUCUUGGACAAUGGGCGCAAGCCUGAUCCAGCCAUGCCGCGUGAGUGAUGAAGGCCCUAGGGUUGUAAAGCUCUUUCACCGGUGAAGAUAAUGACGGUAACCGGAGAAGAAGCCCCGGCUAACUUCGUGCCAGCAGCCGCGGUAAUACGAAGGGGGCUAGCGUUGUUCGGAUUUACUGGGCGUAAAGCGCACGUAGGCGGACUAUUAAGUCAGGGGUGAAAUCCCGGGGCUCAACCCCGGAACUGCCUUUGAUACUGGUAGUCUUGAGUUCGAGAGAGGGGGGUGGAAUUCCGGGUGUAGAGGUGAGAUUCGUAGAUAUUCGGAGGAACACCAGUGGCGAAGGCGGCUCACUGGCUCGAUACUGACGAUGAGGUGCGAAAGCGUGGGGAGCAAACAGG
This 404-nucleotide ribosomal RNA is filed under the name Actinomycetes bacterium. Its description in RNAcentral is "Actinobacteria bacterium partial 16S ribosomal RNA". It matches the Rfam family "Bacterial small subunit ribosomal RNA", at positions 355 to 776 of the family's 1533-position model. The record is from RNAcentral. Lineage: Bacteria; Bacillati; Actinomycetota; Actinomycetes.